AAAAAGUAAAGGAAUAUUGAAAAGAAAAAAAAACGUGGGAAUCUGUUAAUGUCCACAAAUGGGAAAUAUAUUUGUGUGACCAGGUUUUAAUAUCAUUUUGGCUUUUGGUUUUCUUGUAAAAAUUCAAACACGAAACAUCUCAUUACUAAAGGUAAGAGUCAAAUGUGCAAGUUCAGUGGUUUUAUCAAAUAAAAGUAAUGGUUUGAUUACAAAGUUUAUUACUAUUACGUCAAGAAGUCCGUAUGCCUUUUUGUAUCCCAAAGAAUGAUAACAAAAAAAAUAACAACAACAACAACCCAGUAUAAUCCCACUCAGUGGGGUCUGGGGAGGGUAGUGUGUAAGCAGACCUUACCCCUACCCUUGGGUAGAGAGGCUGUUUUCAAAUAGACCCCCAGCAUCCUUCCCUCCAAGAACUUCCCACCCUGCUCUUGGGGAUACUGAACUCACAACCUCUUGGUUGGAAGUGGGGGUAGCUUACCAUCAGAGCAACCCCUCUUGUCAAACAAACAAACAAAAAAAGUAGAAGAAUAUUGAAAAGAAAAAAAAACGUGGGAAUCUGUUAAUGUCCACAAAUGGGAAAUAUAUUUAUGUGACCAGGUUUUAAUAUCAUUUUGGCUUUUGGUUUUCUUGUAAAAAUUCAAACACGAAACAUCUCAUUACUAAAGGUAAGAGUCAAAUAAAAGUAAUGGUUUGAUUACAAAGUUUAUUACUAUUACGUCAAGAAGUC
RNAcentral lists this long non-coding RNA (727 nucleotides) under Nicotiana benthamiana. RNAcentral describes it as "long non-coding RNA (NBEN_LNC009566)". The record is from RNAcentral. Lineage: Eukaryota; Viridiplantae; Streptophyta; Magnoliopsida; Solanales; Solanaceae.